Non-coding RNA from Podarcis lilfordi (Lilford's wall lizard), 134 nucleotides. NCBI's taxonomy places the organism in Eukaryota, Metazoa, Chordata, Lepidosauria, Squamata, Lacertidae. The record is from the annotation of a GenBank genome assembly.
UCAGUUUGAAUUUGCUAGUUUUCACGCUUCUCCAAAUGUUGCAGUGAAAUUCUCAUCAGUUUAAAUGCAUUUAAACUGAUGAGAACUUCAUGGCAAUAUUUGGAGAAGCGUGAAAACUAGCAAAUUCAAACUGA